AGACCCGAAACCCGGUGAUCUAGCCAUGGGCAGGUUGAAGGUUGGGUAACACUAACUGGAGGACCGAACCGACUAAUGUUGAAAAAUUAGCGGAUGACCUGUGGCUGGGGGUGAAAGGCCAAUCAAACCGGGAGAUAGCUGGUUCUCCCCGAAAGCUAUUUAGGUAGCGCCUCGUGAAUUCAUCUCCGGGGGUAGAGCACUGUUUCGGCUAGGGGGCCAUCCCGGCUUACCAACCCGAUGCAAACUGCGAAUACCGGAGAAUGUUAUCACGGGAGACACACGGCGGGUGCUAACGUCCGUCGUGAAGAGGGAAACAACCCAGACCGCCAGCUAAGGUCCCAAAGUCAUGGUUAAGUGGGAAACGAUGUGGGAAGGCCCAGACAGCCAGGAUGUUGGCUUAGAAGCAGCCAUCAUUUAAAGAAAGCGUAAUAGCUCACUGGUCGAGUCGGCCUGCGCGGAAGAUGUAACGGGGCUAAACCAUGCACCGAAGCUGCGGCAGCGACACUCAGGUGUUGUUGGGUAGGGGAGCGUUC
This 533-nucleotide ribosomal RNA is filed under the name Salmonella enterica subsp. enterica serovar Thompson. RNAcentral's name for it is "partial 23S ribosomal RNA". It matches the Rfam family "Bacterial large subunit ribosomal RNA", at positions 711 to 1241 of the family's 2925-position model. The record is from RNAcentral. RNAcentral also lists the same sequence under 8 other names. Lineage: Bacteria; Pseudomonadati; Pseudomonadota; Gammaproteobacteria; Enterobacterales; Enterobacteriaceae.